Molecule: long non-coding RNA, 1673 nt
Organism: Cyprinus carpio carpio
Lineage: Eukaryota; Metazoa; Chordata; Actinopteri; Cypriniformes; Cyprinidae
Source: Ensembl
GGGACCCUGCUACACCCUUUCCUACCAUACAACUGAUGGAUACUGACUGGAAAAUGGCAAUCAUAGGAGGAGGGUUCAGUGUGGUGAAAGAAGAUGGAAUAGACGUGUGUCAGUGCACCAGCCUUGAUGAAGCCUUCAUAACAGCCUUCUGUAUCAUUGACUGGAAGUCUGACAGUCCAGAUGUGAGGAAGACAUACAGAGUGGAGUUGGAGCUCAGCAGGUGUGAUGGCUGUGGAUGCAUCUACAGAAACACCACUGGAUACUGUAGCCAUGGAAAGUAGGGGGGUCUUCACAGCUUUCUAUUCAGACAAAGAGUUUGCUGGAUCCUGUUCUAUGGACUGCUACUACAGAAUGAAUGAAUGAGUUGUUUAUCUAUCUAUCUAUCUAUCUAUCUAUCUAUCUAUCUAUCUAUCUAUCUAUCUAUCUAUCUUUUUUUUUUUACUUGAAUUGGUGACUGAAACUGAAAGCUAAAUAAAUGUUUUAGUGGAUAAAGCUGUAUUUGUUUGCUUAUGUCACUUAACAUAAGGUUACUAAAGUCUUCUGACUAAUUUUUAAAUUUUAUAAUUUAGUGGUUUUGUCAACUAUAUAUUUUUCUCUAUCAGGCAAAACAGUUUUCAAGGGUAACACUUUACAAUAAGGUUUCAUUUGUUGACACUGAUGUAUUAACUAACAUUAACUAUGAGCAAUACAUUUGAUACAGUAUUUGUUAAACUUUGUUAGUUAAUAAAAAUACAGAUGUUUGUUGUUUGUUCUUGUUAGUUCACCUCACAGUGCAUUAACUAAUGUUAACAAAUACAACUUUUGACUUUAACUUAAGAACAGCUAGUGCGACUAACCGUUUUAAGAGAUGUUUGUAUUCUCGAAAAAUAAUUGUAAUUUGUUUUUGAUUAUUGAUAAAUCAAGACCUAAACUUGCGGUGAUGACGUCAGUUACCCGCGCCAUGCAGAAGUUUUGCAUUCAAAAGUCACUGCUAGUGUGAACGGGGCUUUAGAUUAAAGGGGUCAUAUUAUGCGAUUUAAAAUGUUCCUUUCUCUUUGGAGUGUUACAAGCUCUUGGUGAAUAAAGAAGAUCUGUGAAGUUGCAAAGACUAAAGUCUCAAACACAAAGAGAUAUUCUUUAUAAAAGUUGAGACUUGUCCACGCCCCCCUGAAAUGGCUCGUUCUAACACGCCCCCACAUAUCUACAUCAGUAUGUGGGAAGAUUUGAAUAACACCGCCCAGAUGUUCAAGCAAAGAAAGAAGGCGUACCUUUUAUUCUCGUUGUAGUAUUGUUGUUGCUGCCGCCGCCAUGUCGUAUAGAUGCUGUGUGUUUCACUGUGAAAGCGAAACUACUUUGUUUGGCCUUCCAAAAGAGGAUGAUAUCCACUUCAUCAUGCCUGGAGCUGAUCCGUGCUGGUCGCUGAGGAAAUACAUCAACUUUACACUGUGGAUUGCAGAAUGGGCUUUCACCGUGGAUGAAGCGGAGUCCAGCCCGGGGUUGUCACAUGUGGUUGCUGCAAGAUCAAGGUACGCUCCUUCGUAGAAUCCGCCUGCUACACCGUUCUCAAGCCGCCCACCUCUACUCACUCAAGCCGGCCGCGGCUCACUCUAGGCCUCCGGCCUUUGCUCACUCAAGGCCGUGGUGUGUGAGGCUGUUUCAUUAAGAUAGCGAAACAACUUUGUUUUUGCCUUCCA